GACGAGGGGUCCAAGCGUUGUUCGGAAUCAUUGGGCGUAAAGCGGGUGUAGGUGGCUCUAUAAGUCAGAAGUGAAAGCCCCGGGCUUAACCCGGGAAGUGCUUUUGAUACUGCAGAGCUUGAAUGUGGGAGAGGCUAGGGGAAUUCCCGGUGUAGCGGUGAAAUGCGUAGAUAUCUGGAGGAACACCGGUGGCGAAGGCGGCAUCCUGGACCAACACUGACACUGAGGAGCGAAAGCCAGGGGAGCAAACGGG
This 253-nucleotide ribosomal RNA is filed under the name uncultured bacterium. RNAcentral describes it as "partial 16S ribosomal RNA". It matches the Rfam family "Bacterial small subunit ribosomal RNA", at positions 524 to 776 of the family's 1533-position model. The record is from RNAcentral.